CAGCCGUAAACUAUGCGCGUUAGGUGUACUGGUGACCACGAGUCACCGGGGUGCCGAAGGGAAACCGUGAAACGUGCCGCCUGGGAAGUUCGGUCGCAAGGCUGAAACUUAAAGGAAUUGGCGGGGGGAGCACCACAACGGGUGGAGCCUGCGGUUUAAUUGGACUCAACGCCGGAAAUCUCACCGGAUAGGACAGGCAUAUGAUAGUCGGGCUGAAGACUCUACUUGAUGAUCUGAGAGGAGGUGCAUGGCGUCAGUGACU
This 262-nucleotide ribosomal RNA is filed under the name uncultured archaeon. RNAcentral's name for it is "partial 16S ribosomal RNA". It matches the Rfam family "Archaeal small subunit ribosomal RNA", at positions 748 to 1008 of the family's 1478-position model. The record is from RNAcentral.